AGCGAACGCUGGCGGCAGGCCUAACACAUGCAAGUCGAACGAACUCUUCGGAGUUAGUGGCGGACGGGUGAGUAACACGUGGGAACGUGCCUUUUGGUUCGGAAUAACUCAGGGAAACUUGUGCUAAUACCGAAUGUGCCCUUCGGGGGAAAGAUUUAUCGCCAUUAGAGCGGCCCGCGUCUGAUUAGCUAGUUGGUGAGGUAACGGCUCACCAAGGCGACGAUCAGUAGCUGGUCUGAGAGGAUGACCAGCCACACUGGGACUGAGACACGGCCCAGACUCCUACGGGAGGCAGCAGUGGGGAAUCUUGCGCAAUGGGCGAAAGCCUGACGCAGCCAUGCCGCGUGAAUGAUGAAGGUCUUAGGAUUGUAAAUUCUUUCACCGGGGACGAUAAUGACGGUACCCGGAGAAGAAGCCCCGGCUAACUUCGUG
Molecule: ribosomal RNA, 432 nt
Filed under: uncultured bacterium
Lineage: Bacteria
Description: partial 16S ribosomal RNA
Rfam family: Bacterial small subunit ribosomal RNA
Source: RNAcentral